RNAcentral lists this ribosomal RNA (464 nucleotides) under uncultured bacterium. RNAcentral describes it as "partial 16S ribosomal RNA". It matches the Rfam family "Bacterial small subunit ribosomal RNA", at positions 28 to 507 of the family's 1533-position model. The record is from RNAcentral.
GACGAACGCUGGCGGCGUGCUUAACACAUGCAAGUCGAACGGAAAGGCCCCUUCGGGGGUACUCGAGUGGCGAACAGGUGAGUAACACGUGAGUAACCUGCCCUUGACUUCGGGAUAACUUCAGGAAACUGGGGCUAAUACCGGAUAGGAAUCCUUGCUGCAUGGUGGGGGUUGGAAAGCUUCGGCGGUUUUGGAUGGACUCGCGGCUAUCAGCUUGUUGGUGGGGUAGUGGCUUACCAAGGCUUUGACGGGUAGCCGGCCUGAGAGGGCGACCGGCCACAUUGGGACUGAGAUGCGGCCCAGACUCCUACGGGAGGCAGCAGUGGGGAAUAUUGCACAAUGGGCGGAAGCCUGAUGCAGCAACGCCGCGUGCGGGAUGACGGCCUUCGGGUUGUAAACCGCUUUCAGCAGGGGCGAAGCUUGUGGUGACGGUACCUGCAGAAGAAGCACCGGCUAACUACGUG